GUGAAAUAGGCACAGAAAGACUGAUACUGUAUGAUCUCACUUGUAUGUGAAAUCUAAAAUAGUCAGACUCAUAGAAGCCUAGCAUCUGUGUUUUCCA
This is a long non-coding RNA of Sapajus apella (tufted capuchin), 97 nucleotides long. RefSeq lists it as uncharacterized. The record is from RefSeq and is a predicted model, not a curated record. The transcript is spliced from 3 exons. NCBI's taxonomy places the organism in Eukaryota, Metazoa, Chordata, Mammalia, Primates, Cebidae.